GUCAGAAAGUCAAGGCAGAAUCGUCUGAGUCAGAGCCUGUUGUUAAAGCUCUAAAAAGUGUGUUCAAAUUCCUGGCUGGAGAUCUAAGAAGAGAGGAAGGAGCACAUUCAGAACUGGGGGUCACAGAAGAAACUUUAAGCCGAAAGGAGCCCUAGUGUGUGGAAUGGCACUUGCAGGAAGCAGCUGGCAUUAGGAUCAUUUAUCAUCUGUUGUCAGUGCUGUUCUCUGACCUGGAGCUUGGAGGCCCGGCUAUUGUAAACCCACAGAAGAAAACUCAAAACUUAUGCAGAAUUAUUGAUUGUUUUCUCCACCCAGAAGAAAUUGUUUUUCCUGGAAAGUCAGCCAUAUGGUGCCACAGAGGUGGAAGGCACCACACCCCUCUAAGGAAUGCUCCACUUCUGACCAACUCCUUUCACAUCGGCAACUGUUGCCACGGUUCUUGUCUGAGACCCCAGAGAGCUGUUCUGAAUUGUCUCUUGGAUUCAUCCGGGCACCCUUCCA
This 501-nucleotide long non-coding RNA is filed under the name Equus asinus (donkey). Its description in RNAcentral is "lncRNA (ENSEASG00005027206.1)". The record is from RNAcentral. Lineage: Eukaryota; Metazoa; Chordata; Mammalia; Perissodactyla; Equidae.